GCGAUGUGCCUAAGGUAUGCAAGUCGAACGAUUCCUGUAUCUUCGGAUACAGGGAGUGGCAAACGGCUGAGUAACGCGUAGGAACCCACCCCAAACUCGAGUAUAGCCCCGCGAAAGCGGGGGUAAUCCUCGAUAGUCCGUGAAGUAUUUACUUCACGGUAAAGCUUUUGCGGUUUGGGAUGGGCCUGCGUCCUAUCAGGUAGUUGGUGAGGUAAAUGCUCACCAAGCCUAUGGCGGGUAGCUGGUCUGAGAGGAUGGUCAGCCAGACUGGGACUGCGACACGGCCCAGACUCCUACGGGAGGCAGCAACUAGGAAUUGUGCGCAAUGGACGAAAGUCUGACGCCGCGACAUCGCGUGGAGGAUGAAGGUCUUCGGAUUGUAAACUCCUUUUCUUACCGAACAAGUUCUGAGUGUAGGUAAGGAAUAAGUGCCUGCUAACCACGUGCCAGAAGCAUCGGUAAUACGUGGGGCACGUGCGUUAUCCGGAUUUACUGGGCGUAAAGAGAAGCGUAGGCGGCUCGAUAAGUUUGGUGUUAAAUCUUCCGGCUCAACCGGAAACAAGCACCGAAAACUAUCGAGAUUGAGUCGAGUAGGGAAGAGGGGAAUUCCUGGUGGAGCGGUUAAAUGCGUAGAUAUCAGGAGGAAUACCAAGGGCGAAGGCACCUCUUUGGACUCGUACUGACGCUGAGGCUCGAAAGCGUGGGUAGCAAAACGGAUUAGAUACCCGUGUAGUCCGCGCCGUAAACGAUCCCUGUUAGAUGUA
This 764-nucleotide ribosomal RNA is filed under the name uncultured organism. RNAcentral describes it as "bacterial SSU rRNA". It matches the Rfam family "Bacterial small subunit ribosomal RNA", at positions 39 to 824 of the family's 1533-position model. The record is from RNAcentral.